Molecule: transfer RNA, 77 nt
Filed under: Clostridia bacterium
Lineage: Bacteria; Bacillati; Bacillota; Clostridia
Also listed under: 1 other name
Description: tRNA-Arg
Rfam family: tRNA
About the family: Transfer RNA (tRNA) molecules are approximately 80 nucleotides in length. Their secondary structure includes four short double-helical elements and three loops (D, anti-codon, and T loops).
Source: RNAcentral
GUACCUUUAGCUCAGCCGGAUAGAGCAACUGCCUUCUAAGCAGUAGGUCGGGGGUUCGAGUCCCUCAAGGUACGCCA